CUCUGCAUUCUCGCCACUUCUGGUCUGGGUUUUGCUGUUCCUUUUAAUCUAGCGAGGGUUUGGGGGUGAUCUGAAGUAAUAAUCGUCUACUUCUCUGUCAUAGGGACCCAGCAGUCAAAACAGAGCACUGAAUUGAAUCCUGCUGGUUGCUGGAAUUUAGCUGUAGCAGAAGCUAUCUGGUGGCAGCAGAAGAGACAAGAUAGAGGAUGCAAGAUGGCAGCAAAGAACACCUGAAUUCUAGAAGAUCAAGGCUAUUAUGUUGUGAGCUGCUCUAUAGAGAGGCCUGGUGGCAAGGAGCUGAAGGCAGCCUCCUGUCAAUAGCCAGCAAGGAGCUGAGGCCAUUGGAUCAACAGCCUGUGAGAAGCAGAACCCUGCCCACAAUCACACGAGUGAGAUUGGAAGCAGAUCCUUCCCAAGUUGGGCCUUGAGAUGACUGCCAUUCCCACCAGCACCUUGACUCCCACCUGUGGGAGACCCUGAUCCAGAAGACCCAGCUAAGCCAUGCACAGAUUCCUGAUCCACAGAAAUGAGAUGAAGUCUUGCUGUGUUACCAUGGCUGGCCUUGGACUGCUGGGCUCUUCCCUCAGCCUCCUGAGUAGCUGGGACUACAGGCAGACCUGGAGAAGAGUAGAACCAAGCAAAGAGGAACCCGAAAGAAGUCUGUAAUUUGGGGCACAUGAUGAGAGUCUUAUUCAUGAGGGCAUUCACGGAUGGGACAACAGUAUGAGCAGCACAAUUCUCCCUGUUGGUUUGUGUGUAGAGGAACGGAAACACACGGUGUUUGGAGCUGGAAUACCUAGAUUGCAGUUUCUACUCAGCCGCUUCCUAGGGAUGUGACUUGACCUUUUCAGUGUGUUUCGCCAUUUAUAACAUGGAGAUCGAUAAAUGACACCUGCUUCAUAAAGUGUUUCCUUUGCAGCCGUGAGAGCCAGUUCCAGCCAACAAGAUAUAAGGGGAAGUCAGCCGAGGGUUUCUGGAAGUUUCCUUGUUAAGAAGAAAAGCUGCUGUUCCCACCACCACUGCUGUUCCUUUUUGUUUGGAUGCUUAGGAAAGAUCCCAAUUCUUGGAGCAGUGGCAGCCAUCUUGGGGACAUGAGCUUCUUCUCUCAUCUCAAUCCUCCAGACAAGAAAUGGACUCCUCUUGUGCCCUAUGCCCUCGGGCCCAGUUAAUUGUUGCUCAUCAACCUGGUGCUGAGACAAGGACUUGGUUGCAGGUGGUUUACUUGGGGGAUAAUCCCAGAGAACACAGCGAGGGAGUGGAGAAGUGAGACAAGGAAAGGAGAAAGCCAAUACGGGUAUAUUAAUGAGCAGAUCCCAACUGUGGGCAACUGGGGCUCAAUCCUGCUGGGGACCUCUGGGAAACUGAAGACCACACCUUGGAAUCAUCUGCCCAGAGGACAGUGAGGUGGGGACAUUUAUCACCUGAUUUCCAUCCCCAUUGGUUGAGGUUUGUCGCUAGGGGUGUUCCUCCCUGGCACUUAUGGGUCACGUCUGCUGCAGCUGGAUGACAGAGAGAGCCCCAGUGCAGAGAAGGAGGAAGCUGACAGUGUACUGGGAAUUGUCUACAGUUGCAGGAGAACUCAGACACGAAAACGGCCAACUGUUUCCAUCUGAACUGCAUUCAGCUGCAGGGAACAGAAACCUGACUUCAGGGACUCAUACAAAUCCGAGCUGCUUUUGCUCAUAGAGCAAGAAGACUGGCAGGCCACGGUUGCUGGUAAGAGUUCAGUGGCUUGAGCAUGCUGUCAGCAACUCAGAUGUGGGGCCCACUUUCAUCCAGUGGAUGGAUUUUAAGUCUGUCUACUCUGGUUAAUCCUUCUACUGAAGGGAAGUUCUAUGUAAAAGUCAUUUCAGAGGCUGGCGAAGUUAAAAAAAAAACAAUUAAAAGUAGUGUUAAAAAUAGUGAGCAUGUGUCUUAGGGUUUGGCAGUGUUGCGUUUAAAAAACGUUUUGCCUCGUACCUGGUCCUGGCUCUUGUCAUAUUUAAAAUAGACAUUUCCUCUUUGUUUUGUUUGUUCUGUUGUCUCCUGUGCUCUGGGGUCAAAAGAACUGUUGCCAGUAGAGAUGGGAGAACACAGUGAGCAGGACUCUGGGCCCUGGAACCACACUGGCCUAUCGAUCUUCCACCAUUUUUGACCUACAGAGAGGGCAGGAGUUCGAAACCAGCCUGAGGAAGAGCGAGACCCUGUCUCU
Molecule: non-coding RNA, 2191 nt
Organism: Microcebus murinus (gray mouse lemur)
Lineage: Eukaryota; Metazoa; Chordata; Mammalia; Primates; Cheirogaleidae
Source: RefSeq, a predicted model, not a curated record